This 1821-nucleotide ribosomal RNA is filed under the name human gut metagenome. RNAcentral describes it as "bacterial LSU rRNA". It matches the Rfam family "Bacterial large subunit ribosomal RNA", at positions 1103 to 2925 of the family's 2925-position model. The record is from RNAcentral.
GGCUUAGAAGCAGCCAUGCAUUCAAAGAGUGCGUAACAGCUCACUGGUCGAGUGGACAUGCGCCGACAAUUCACGGGGCUAAGCGAUGCACCGAAGCGGCGGACUGAGAAUUCAGUGGUAGGGGAGCUCUCCGCGGGGGGCGAAGCAGCAGGGCGACCUGCUGUGGACCGCGCGGAGGUGAGAAUGCUGGCAUGAGUAACGAGACCAGGGCGAGAAACCCUGGCGCCGUGAGCCUAAGGGUUCCUGGGCGAGGCUAAUCCCCCCAGGGUCAGUCGGGAGCUAAGGCGAGGCCGAGAGGCGUAGCCGAUGCGCAGCGGGCAGACAUUCCCGCACCGCCGACGGCGCGGCAUUACCGAUGGGGCGACGGAGAAGGGUAGCCGGGCGGGGUUCUGGACGUCCCCGUGAAAGCGCGUAGGGCGCGCAGCGUGGAAAUCAGCUGCGCACGGGGCCUGAGACGCGAGACGAAGCGAGCGAGCGAAGCCGGUGAGCCCAUGCUUCCGAGAAAAACCUCUAGGGAGUGCCGUCGGCGCCCGUACCAAAACCGACACAGGUGGGCGGGUAGAACAUACCGAGGCGAUCGGGAGAACCACGGUUAAGGAACUCGGCAUACUGGCCCCGUAACUUCGGGAGAAGGGGCGCCGCCGGCUGUGAACGCCCUCGCGGCGGGAGCGGCUGGCGGCCGCAGCGAAACGGCCCAAGCGACUGUUUAUCAAAAACACAGGACUCUGCAAAGCGGUAACGCGACGUAUAGGGUCUGACGCCUGCCCGGUGCCGGAAGGUUACGCGGAUGCGUCAGCCGAAAGGCGAAGCGCUGAAGCCAAGCCCCGGUAAACGGCGGCCGUAACUAUAACGGUCCUAAGGUAGCGAAAUUCCUUGUCGGGUAAGUUCCGACCUGCACGAAUGGCGUAACGAUUUGGGCGCUGUCUCAACCGUGGACCCGGUGAAAUUGUACUGUUCGUGAAGAUGCGAACUACCCGCGGAAGGACGGAAAGACCCCGUGAACCUUUACUGCAGCUUGGCAUUGGCAUCUGGUACGGCGCGUAGAGGAUAGGCGGGAGCCUUUGAAGCGGGGGCGCAAGCCCCCGUGGAGGCGACCUUGGAAUACCGCCCUCGUCGUGCCGGCUGCCUAACGCGCGGCCGUGAUCCGGCGCGCGGACCGUGCCAGGCGGGUAGUUUGACUGGGGCGGUCGCCUCCCAAAACGUAACGGAGGCGCGCGAAAGGUCCGCUCAGGACGGUCGGCAACCGUCCCGAGAGCGCAAGAGUGCAAGCGGGCUUGACUGCGAGAGAGACACCUCGAGCAGGGACGAAAGUCGGUUCUAGUGAUCCGGCGGCACAGAGUGGAAUGGCCGUCGCUCAACGGAUAAAAGGUACUCCGGGGAUAACAGGCUGAUCUUGCCCAAGAGUCCACAUCGACGGCAAGGUUUGGCACCUCGAUGUCGGCUCAUCGCAUCCUGGGGCUGGAGCAGGUCCCAAGGGUACGGCUGUUCGCCGUUUAAAGCGGUACGCGAGCUGGGUUCAGAACGUCGUGAGACAGUUCGGUCCCUAUCCUCCGCGGGCGCAAGGGAGUUGAGGAGAUCUGCCCCUAGUACGAGAGGACCGGGGUGGACGGACCUCUGGUGACGCGGUUGUCGACCAACGGCACCGCCGCCUAGCUACGUCCGGCACGGAUAACCGCUGAAGGCAUCUAAGUGGGAAGCCGCCUCCGAGAUGAGCUCCCUUUCCGGUAAGGGCCCAGAUAGACUAUCUGGUCGAUAGGGCGCAGCUGCAAGCAGGGCGACCUGCUCAGGCGAGCGCUACUAAUAGCCCGAGCUCUUCUUCAU